Vicugna pacos (alpaca) is the source of this 9610-nucleotide non-coding RNA. Lineage: Eukaryota; Metazoa; Chordata; Mammalia; Artiodactyla; Camelidae. The record is from RefSeq and is a predicted model, not a curated record.
UUCCUUCCUUCUUCCCUCCCUCCCUCCCUUCCUUCCUUUCUUUCACCUCUAUUUAGAUUUUGUCUUAGAAACAGUUUUGAAAGAAUCUAGAGGUCCCUUUUUAAACUUCCCACCUGUAGGCAUCUUGCUGAGCCUCAUCUAGGCUCUUCUUGCAAACGUCUACGAAAGAGACAGCCAUCAUCCCACAAGUCAGCCGGUUCUGAAGAGCGUGUUGGAGGGCGUUGCCUGUAUUCAGCGAGUAUCUCCUAUUAGAUUUCAUAAUCUCGUACCAACAGUGAAACUCCAAAAUCCUGUUGGAUAAAUGGCAAAAAGGAGUAUUGCGCUGACUGGAUAUUGCAUGGCGAGGGCUUCCCUUUUGCGUUAGGCUAUGUUGAUUCAGAAGUGAGUGACAGUUUACAAGUCUCCGUCAGAGAAUCGGGAGGGAAAGUACAUAAGAAGCACAGCAACAAGCCUGAGAAAUGCAAUGAGGUGUAAAAGAGAAAGAAACAACGGUGUUGUUUGCCAUCGUGACUGGCACAUUUAAAAUCAAAAUGUCGAGGAUACAUCUUUGCAAGGAUCUCUGAUCACAGCCCUCUCCAUGGUCAGCAAGGUUAUGAAACAAGUCAUCUUCUUCCUUCUUCCCUCCUUCCCUCCCUCCCUUUCUUACUUCUUGCCUUCUCUCUAAGGCUCAUCACUACGAACUUUUCAAGGAGGAGAGGUUAAUCGCUUUGGUUUGAAAUCACGAGAGAAGGCAUCAUGAGUGAGCAUUUGAGUGUUUGGUCAGUUGGGAUGGGAGAGACUGAAUCAAAGCAGGUGGCCCUGUGCCAUGAUUGUUACUGAGUCUCCUGGAGUGACUCAGUCAUGAUUAUUCAGGCUACUGUUUCACAAAGUAAACAUGCAGCCCACAGGCAGCCAUCGCUGUUGACACUUCCUUAUCCUUGACUUUGGGGAGGGUCAGAGCACUCACUGACACGCCAGGAACACUCAGCUGCCUUCAGCAAGUCUCCCAGGCGGCAGGUGGCCUUCCCAAGCCAGAUGCUCCCAGGGAGGCACCUUGCCUUCUGUGCCAUUCUGGGCGAGCGACCUGCAACUGUAUCCCCAUCUCCCUUAAAAGCAGAUUGCAGUACAAAGAGCGUGGCAAUCAGGGGGAAACAAAUAUAGGUGCCAUAUUUGUGUUUGGAACAGUGGUCACAACAGAUUCUGACUAAGCCUGUAGAUGAUGGUAGUUGAGGGUUAUCCAAAGGUUGAAGGUCACCGGCAGAGUUCGUCGGAGUCUGUUCACUCAGAGUUUCCUGCCGUGCGGGACUCAGCCACCCUCGCGCUCCUUCUGCUAGAGACUCAGAGGGAUUUGAAAGGAGAGUUUUACAGAGCAAAAGGGGGAAAUCUCAAACGGUCUUUGGUCAACAUCCUAUUCGGGGGGGAUUUCCCCGAAGGGUGGGGCUUCUGGAAGUGGUGGGGGUGGUGGGAGCGGGUCCUGGGCGAGGAGUCUUCUGAUUGAUUUCCAAAUUCGCCGGACAGUCUUCGGUCGGGUCGCUGUCCGCAGGCGCGGCACUGGGGCCUUCCCGGGCUGGGUCCGCUCGUGAAGGUUUCCUUGUUCCCCUGAGGGUCUGUCUGCUUCUCUGCUUUGGGCUCCACGUCUAGCCUAAGCCAGUGCUGCAGGACCGCCACGUGAAAGUGUGAGCUCCUCGUUCAGGAUGCACCCGUGCCUGGGGUGUGUGAUGAGUCAGCAUUCCUGAUUUGAGGAUGCUGGGGACACCCCACUGCUGCAGUGAUCAAGCACACAAUCCUUGGAGACACACAGACCUGAACUCACACCCAGUCUUCACCUCUUAUUUUGUGAUGUGGGCAAGUUGCACCCUGGUUUUCUCUCUAUUAUCAAAGACUUAAAUCCUGAAAAGACUGUGGCACUUCCAGGGGGAAUUAGAAAAAAAGCAGAAGCUAAGUAGAAGAGUAGAAGAUGGAAAGAUGGGAAGAGAGAAAAGAUGCUGAUGGAAAGCAGCUGAUGGCCAUCAAGCAUUUCUGUUACUUCUGGGGCUCUCGACUUCGGUUAGGGACAGAAGGUCACAGCCAUGGUGCAGUUUGAUUCCACUGCAGGAUUUGCACCAAAAGCCCUUCACCUCACCCUUAUGCGUGCUUUUGCUUCUUCUUGAUUCCUACCUGACCCUAAUUUUUGGAUUACUUGGGUACAGAAUCACUGUCUCAGAAAGUUGCAAAGCAACCUUCAAUGUGUUCUGUUGAAUAGCUGUGUAAAAUUUAUGUCCCGCGUACGCUGUUUGUUCAGUAAGAGAAGGAGUUAACCUAAAUAGGUUUUGAAUUUGAGUGUAACCAUUAUGACAGACAGGCAAAGAGGACAGACUGCCGAGUCCAUGAGGCAGUGAAAUGUCGUGGUCUGGAGCACACGGGUGUAUGAGAAGUGUCGGUGAUAAUGGAAAUGUUCUCCAUCUGCUCUGUCCAGUAUAAGCCAUGGGCCACGUGUGGCUUUUGAGCACCUGAACUGUGGCUAGUGCCAUCGAAGAACUGAAUCUGUAAUGUUUCGUAAUUUUUAUUAGGUUAAUUUAGAUUUUAAAUAUGGCCCCAUGUGGUUAGUGGCUACCAUAUCGGGCUGUGCAGAACAGAGUGUAAUGGUGGAAUGCAGACACUGAAGCACAAGGCCAGGGUUCGCAUCCCAACUUUGCCCUCGCUGGUCUCCCCACUGCUCAGUUCCACGGGGUCCCCAUCUGUAAGAGCCAUCAUGAAGACCAUGAGUCAACAGAUGGGAUCAAUAUAUGGAAAGUCAUACAUUGAGCCAAUGUAUGGAAUGAGUCAAUAUAUGGGAAAGAAUCAAUGUGUGAAAAGUACAUUCUAUAUAUGAGUUUGUUUUCAUUACCGCUCUUCUGGGGAGGUCAUGAGAUCUAUGUUAACUAACAGAUCACUACAUGAUUGUUUCACCUGAAUUUUGCCCUCUGUUGACUGAGCCUGGAGAGUUGUGUCAGGUCAGCAGUGGGGUUAGUCAGAGCAUCGUCUUCUGGUUCUGAGAGUUAAUGUUCCUGUGCGUUGGCAGUUUUAGCUCAUAAAGACAGCGAGGAAACUGGGUGUUUGGUUCUGCUAGAUUUAUCUCUGUUGGCAUAUUGUCUUCUACCCUCAGUUUUUGCAUCUGACAGAUGAGAAAAACUCUACCCCAUUUCUCAGGUGUCUACAUUUUAGAGUCACAUGGGGGAUGUUAAAUAGCAAUAAGUAGAUGGUUGCAUUUAAGUAGAUGAUUGCAUUUCAGACAUUUGGAACACCUUUCCCCUGGAUUGUCAUAAUUAUAACAUGGCAAGCAUUGAGUGGUUUUUCUAGGCACUGGGCUGAGUGGUUUGUGGUCAUUAUUUCCGCUGGUCUUUAAUGUGACCCUAUUAGGAGGAUAUUGUCACCAUUAUUUUAAGGGGACAGGACAGAGAGUUUAGGCAGUGUGCUCCAGGUCACGUAGGCAAUGAGCAGCAAAAAUAGGCUUGGUUCUCUUUGACUCUGAAGCUUGUAUGCUGAAGUUUGUAGAAUGGCCUUCUCUUACGGUCUGAGAACACACUUGUUAACUCUAAGUGUGUUUUCCCACAUGCUUUUAAAAAAUUCAAUAAUUAGGAAAUCAGUUUUAAACCUGGAAAACUUUUGGAAACAGGAAGCGUGGUGGCUUUGCAGAAUGAGGAGAUUGGAACAUUUUGGUUGUUUAUGCCCCUUUUGUUGAUGAAACUUCAAUCAUCUGAAAUUUACUUUGCACAGUUUUCCUUGAGAAAGCCUCUUGCUCCAGGGUUUCUUACACUGUUACCAACACAAAAUGCAAGUAGCUGGUGCUUGAGAUGAUCACACUCCCUUCCUGCUUCUUCUUUCCUCCUGGCUCUUCCCUUCCAAUGCCUAACAGCAACUCAACAAAUAUUCAUCAAACUCCUACCAUGACUGGGCUCCGUGUUGGACACCGAACAAGAUAAAACACUAAACAAGAAAAUAUGACUCCUGUUCUCAUGGGGUUUAUGGGCACUCGUGUAGUAGCCUGCAAACAUCAACUUUGGGAAAAAACUGGACCAGAAAGAACUCGUACAGCAUCUUGUGCAUAGUAGCCUCUAACAACAAAAACUUCCUCCAAAAUCCUUACUAUAAAACAGAGAUUUGGUCCCCUAGCAGCCCCUAGAUAAAUAGUGAUGUGCAGUGUGUUUUUCUCAUUAUGACACUAAAAGCCUUUAAAUUGGGUGUUUCUAGUCUAUCACAAAACUACGAAGUUAGACAUUUAUGAAUCCUGCUGAGCCCCUAACUGAGGAUUUAUGAUUUAAGUGGAACACUAGGGAGCUGUUGGGUCAAUAAAAAAAUCUCUAAAAUUCUUUAAAAAUGAUCAGAGUCGGAAACAAAAAAUAUGUUAGCAACAUUAUUUGGAUUUUAGGGACCAGGAAGUGUCAUUAGCCAUAGUGGAAGUAAAAUACACGAGAUGAAUAUUAUUGCUCAAGGAAAAUACAGAACAAAAAGGUACAGAGAGUGUAUAAAGCACACAGCACAUGUGCUUUUUAAAAAUUAUUUUAUUGCAAUAGCUAACAUAAGUUAGCUUCUCUGUGGUGCUUUAUAAAUAUAAUAAUGGCAGGUGAGACAUUAAAAGCACAACAACAAAAAAAAAACUGAAUUAUCUUUGCUACUUCAUUUUAUGAUAGCCACACCUUUCCUAAAAGGUAUUUGAAAUCAUCUUGUGAUAAUCAAUUUUUUUCGGGGGGGAUAUAAUUAAGUUUAUUUAUUUAUUUAUUUUAGUGGGGGUACUGGGGAUUGAACCCAGGACCUAAUGCAUGCUAGGCAUGCCCUCUACCACUGAGCUAUACCCUCCCCUUAAAUUUUGAUAAUUAGAUAAAGGCAUUAGGAGGGGUGGGUAUAGCUCAGCGGUAGAGCGUGUGCCUAGCAUGCACAAGGUCCUGGGCUCAAUUUCUAAACCGCCAUUAAAAAAAGAAAGAAAGAAAAGGGGCAAAAAAGGGAAGGGACUGAGGGAAGUACUAGGAAUUUUGCAUAUACGCUGGACUCCUUCCUCCACUCACUCGUUGUCCCAGGCAGAGUUCAGAUACAAAGGGUUUUGUAUAAACCUGGGCCUGUCUUACAGGGGCUAGUGGUUUCUUUAAACAAAGCACACAUAAUUCCAUCACAAGUCAAGUCAAAGGCAGUAACUGUGCCAGUUAGGCAAAGACGGGUUCCGUCACCGGGCUGUACUAAUCCGGCAGGUUUUGUGGAGGAAGUAGCAGAACUUGCGCCAGGGCCAGGGAAGCGGACGGGCUUUGGAAGAGGCCCAGAGGAAUGAAGAGCCAACGGAUGAGAGCGCACGGCGUGCCCAAGAGUAGGCGGGAGCCGGCGUUGUGGAGGUCCCCAGGCAUUGAUUCCCUGUGCUGGUGGGAGACUCGGGUUGGAAUCAUAGAGAAAUAAACAAGGGAGUAAUAAACCAGGUAGUAACGUACUGGGGAGAAAUCUGACAGGUGGGGAAGGAGCUUGGGCUUUACCUUGAGGAGCACCACUCUGGCCCCUGGUCGUGUGUGAGGCUCGCUAGGGAGCGUGAUGGAAAUGCAGAUUCUCGGGCCUCUAGUCAACCACACCAGGGACUUGAUGUGUCCUGAGGCCCUAUCAUCUGCCAUCUUUUAAAAUUCCUUAGAUGGUCCAGUCCAGGGACCAAAGUGCGGGAACCAGUGUCGCGGAUAAUGGAGAAACACAGGAACUUUCCGAGACAGAAUUUUACAAGUGGAAUUCCAAGAAGCUUAAUUUUACAGGAGUGUCCAGGAUGACUUACUGGAGAAAUAUACCUGAGUUUAGGAAAUCAGCCAGACGUUUUCUACGUCCCCAAUCUGUCCAUGAAUCUUUCCCAACAAUUAUUUAUCAAGGACCGUCUAUGUGUGAGGCUCUGUGAGAGAGAACGCAGAGGCUUUCAAUCUCGGUACCCAUCAAAAUCACCUGGGAUUUCCCUAAGAGCUCAACCUACUCCCAGGCUGCACUCCAGGCCAAUCAAAUCACAUCACGUCAAAAGCCGGACCAGAUGGCGCAAUUUUUAAAUGUCGCAGGUGAUUCCAGUGCGGCCAAUACCAAGAUCCACUGCUUUAGAGGAAACAGACCUACAGCAAUACUUCUCUUCCCUUCAGAACUUGCAAUCUCGUUGGAGAAAUUAAACACGUGUAGAAAUAAGUGAAUGUGCUUUCUGCACAGAACUCAGUUAUUGGCAGGAGAUAGGAAUUCUGAGUACUGCUUUGUGAAUUCUGGUAGACAUCAUCUCUGGGUCAAGACGGAUACCUGUGUCUGGAGGGGAAAGAGGAAUCUAAGUACAAACUGGGAGAAUUGUUUCCCCAACCUCGCUCACCGCGGGGUCCAGGUGCCACUCCAUGAGGGACCUCACACCCUCAACGCCUCAGCCUGCCCUUCUGUGAGCUGUCUUUGCAAAUCAAAGCAUCUGCUCACGUCUCUCUGCACAGGUACUGCUGGCCGUGGCCAGAUGAAAACCUAGAUUUUAAAAUUUUAUUCUAAAUUCCUGACCACAGAAGUCAAGUCAUACUGCAGUGCUGCCUGGAGGCCAUCCUUUUAAAACCCAAGUCCGGUCCUGUUGCUCCUCUGCUCAACCCUACAACGACCACAGGCCCAUUUACUCUGAGUGGAAGCAAAGUUCCUCCAAAGCCAGCAAGGCUGUGCCUGUUCCCCGUCCCUGCCCCUCCACCCCCGGGGGCUUCCUUCCCAGGGCAGAGGAACAGAAUCAUUCCUCAGGUUUCCUUAUUGUCUCAACGGCCGCACGUGCCACUCUCUUGGGUCAAGAAGGCUCAACGCCAUGGAGUCGCUCCUGGCUCCUGACUCUGCCUGCUUCAUCCUCCCUCUCAGCCUCUCCUCGGAGCUGUCUGUUAUUUCACAGCGACGUUCUUUAUCUCCACCCCGGCUCCUAGCAGAACUUCUCUAAGUUUAAAGCAAAUUCGAGGAGUGGCUGGUUGGACACGACGCCCCUGGGAGUCAGAAAGAGGAAGCUGAUACAGAGACCUCUCCGCCUUCCCCUUUCCACACCGUGGCCUUUGCUUAGUUGGCACUGUGUCUUCCUUGACGUUGAGUUUAACUGACUCCAUAAGAAGACAGGGGAAGGCAAGGGAAGGAAAAUGAGAGAAAACACCUCGGGACGUAGAACUGGCUGUGAUCUAAUUAUCCGGGUCCUUUCUGCCUGAAGCGUCAUACUUCCUCCUGGCAGUGCUUUGCCCCACUGUGGCGUAUUUACAAUGUAUCUGGCUUUGUUCUGAAUUCUCCACAUCUGUAAACUUGUAGAACCCCUGUAAGGAAGGUACUGUUCUCGUACUUAUUUCACAGAUGAGGAAAGCCAGGGGGUGAAAAGUGACCUUGAUCACACAGCUGAGAAUAAAACCAGAAUCUGAGCCCAAACCUGCAGUCCAGCUCCCCUUGUUCGGCCGUCUUUAUAUCGUGCCCAUUCUGGACGUUUACACAGCUCUCUCCGGCUUUUCCCACAACAUGCCCUCAGCAGCAAUCUCGCCCCUCCUGGGCACCCUGGUUCACCCUGUCCCCUUCCAGGCUUCAUUCAGAAGUGACUUCUCACUCUCUUCUUCGACAAUCUGAACUCUCACAGCAAUUUACCUGCCAUAGUACAUACUUAUUACCUUCUCUUCUGUAUAACCUACCCGUGUGCUCCAGCCCAGAAGCUUCCUCCAAGUAUUUCUAGGUGCUCCUGGAAAAGGAACCACUGGCACUCAGAGCCGCCUGCCAGCCAGCCCCCUCAGGCCUGUCUCAUAAAGGGAGAGAAGCACCUCCUCUUUCAUCCAUUCCUUCCUUGGGUAGAUGCUGGGGACCUGCUGUGUACCACCCUGGUGAUACAUUUGUGGUCACAACAGAUGAAAAUUUCUGCCUUAACAGCUUUCAAUUAGCAAAGAGAUCAGAUAAUAAACAUCAUAAAAAGUAAACUGCCUAGUGUGUAGAAGGAGAAAAGAGAAUAGCCAAUUAGGGUCAAGAGAAUGCUGGGGGCAGGGUGGGGGGAGUUGCAUUUUAAGUGAGUGGCCAAGGUCACACACAUUUGACUUUGUGAGGAUAAUGACAAGUUUCCUUUUAGACUUGUUGAGUAUGAGAUGCAGAUGGGUGAUGCAAAUGGCCUGGGGUCAGUGUGAGAUAAAACAACUAGACCUGAGCAGAGAGGGCAGAGCAGAAGAUAGUAGUCUCUUAAAGGUUCUCCCUGCUUCUCAUCUCUCCCCUCUAAAUUAUUCCCUGUGUUAUAUCCAGCCUGGUCUUUGUACAACACAGAUCUGGUCCCGUCACACCCCUGUUUGUCUAGAGAAUUUAUUGUCUAGAGAGUCUUUCUACUUUCACUUCCUGGUCCACUGGGGAUAAAUCAUCAAGAUGACCUUUUCACAGUGUCUUCCUCUUCACAGAGAAGGCCUUUGCAGCUUAGACAGGGAAUUGGUGCGCUACGUAGGAUAUUCCACCUUAAAUGCCAGCAGGGGCUCCUGCCCUCGAUAGUUGUGACAGCUGGUGCCCUCACAGUCUUCAGGACACGGGAAUCCCUCAGGGCCCGGGUUGGAUCUGUGAAGUCUAUUGCAGAUAUCCCUGGUUUGGACAUUGGUUGUCUGAUUGGCCCAUCAGGGUUUUUUCUGGUGGUGGAGGGAAGCAGAAUUUAAGGAUGGAAGGGGCAUGGUGAAUUACUUGAUCGAGGGGGCCAUGAGACAGGUGGCUCUCGUGCUGUGGGGGGCAAGGGAAGCAAAGCGGAACGUCAGCCUGUAAAUGACUCAAGGUUAUGAAAUCGAAACCCAGGGACAGCCAGUCACAAACAGCCCACUAGGCUUUAAGCGGCAGCGAGUCAGAAACCCCCUGACUCGGCUCCCUCACUUUCUCUGCAGAAGUUUCUCCCGGCUCCCAGCUACUUCCGGUUUGGGGCUGCCCCAUAGGAAUCGAUUUUUGCUCAGAUAAACUCUUCACAUUUUUUAUAUGCCUCAGUUUAUCUUUUAAGAGACAUUAAAGUUCUUGCAGUGCAACCUCCCACCACGCGCUGCGGGAUUACUCAAGUCAGCCCUGCCACAUGGUGGUCCAGCUCUGGCUAAACGUUCCUGUUCCGUAAGCAUGAAGCUAUUAAUUGCAGCCUCGUCUGUAACAGUCAAACUUUGGAAGCAACCAAACUAUUUAGUACAGAAGUAAGUCACCAUUAGACAAGAAGUAGAAAUUAUAUCUGUGGAUGUUUGUGAAAAGGUUUAUGAUUUUAAGUUAAAAAGGCUGAAAAUGAACUUGCAUUUAUAUUAUGCUUAAAACUGUCGACAAGAGGAUGGGCAAAUAUGCAGAAUAAAAUGCCUGGGCUCUGAGGGUAAAUUUUCUUUUAAACAUUUAUAAAUAGCGUAUAAUUUUGCUUAUUUGGUGUUCUUAUAUCAAACGAAUACAAAUAAGAAGUUGGUUUUACUUUUUUUUUUCCCCUGCUUGAAAACCGGUAAGUGUCAAGGGGGCUAAUAUUUUGGUGUGGAGAUAGUGACUUACAACGAUAUUCUCAGGGUGGGGCAGAGGCAAUGAGCAAAGGAAAAAGUUUUACGUGUAUCUGGUGAGGCAGGCAAAUACUUCAUCCCUCCCACCCCCUUUGAAAAUCGCUGUAGCUGUUUCCUGAAUUUGCAUUUGCAAUUUAACACGAGCCGGGGGAUCACAUUGAAAAGGAACA